RNAcentral lists this ribosomal RNA (253 nucleotides) under uncultured bacterium. Its description in RNAcentral is "partial 16S ribosomal RNA". It matches the Rfam family "Bacterial small subunit ribosomal RNA", at positions 524 to 776 of the family's 1533-position model. The record is from RNAcentral.
AACGUAGGAGACAAACGUUAUCCGGAUUUACUGGGCGUAAAGGGCGUGUAGGUGGUUUCGUAAGUCUGGCGUGAAAUUUUUCGGCUUAACCGGGAAAGGUCGUCGGAUACUGCGAGGCUAGAGGACGGUAGAGGCGUGUGGAAUUCCGGGUGUAGUGGUGAAAUGCGUAGAGAUCCGGAGGAACACCAGUGGCGAAGGCGACACGCUGGGCCGUACCUGACACUGAUGCGCGACAGCAUGGGGAGCAAACAGG